GCGCCCAUAGCUCAAUUGGAUAGAGUACCAGCCUCCGGAGCUGGGGGUUGGCCGUUCGAAUCGGCCUGGGCGCA
RNAcentral lists this transfer RNA (74 nucleotides) under Candidatus Auribacterota bacterium. RNAcentral's name for it is "tRNA-Arg". It matches the Rfam family "tRNA". Rfam says of the family: Transfer RNA (tRNA) molecules are approximately 80 nucleotides in length. The record is from RNAcentral. Lineage: Bacteria; Pseudomonadati; Candidatus Auribacterota.